ACAGUUUAUUUCUCUUUUUCGACUUUUCACUUGUGGAAACAGUGGCAAUGGACAUCUUGCGUUGGGAGUCCACCGGCUUCAAUUGGGUGUUGUCUUUUAGUACCUUUCGUUCUUUUUUUUUUUUUGUUUCGUGAGCGAAAGCAUUACGAGACUUUGAUCAAUUCAAUUACUCUUUCCGAUCGGUUGAUUAUCAUUUAAAUUGAUACGGUACUAAUAGAGAUUGAUUGUUUUUAAAUUUGAAUUUGUAAUAUUUGCCGAGUUAAAUUUCGGUUGCAUUUUAAAUUUAUAUUUUCUUUUAAUUAAUUCCAUGAAUUUUUAAUACAAUUAAAGUUAGCGUGAUAAAAAAAGAAAAAAUAACCUGAAAAUUUAAGAAAUAUGUUAGUGUUAAUCACUAACUAUUCAUUCUUUUUUUUUUUUUUUCUUUUUUCUGUUAUGAAAUAUAAUAGAAAAUAGGGAGAGGUCUAAAAUUUAGGCUAAGUUGCUUCCACUUCCUUCAAUUCCCGAGGAUGUUCUAUCUUCUUUCUACCUUAUUUAUUUAUUAAUGAAUUUUUGUCUCUUACCACUUUGGCUCUAUUGUGCUGAAUUGUUCUAACCCCUAGCUAUUUCAUUUGCUUCUUUACUUGAAUAAUCUCUACUUGUCUUUUUGUCUGAAAAAUCACUAUUUGAUCAAUUUGAUAUACUACAUUAGUUAGUUUUUAAUUUUAAAAAAUAUAUUAAAAUAUUUUUAAUAUUUUAAAAAAUUUAAUAAUUGAUUUUUUUAGUAAUUUUAUCUAUUAAAUAUUGUAAAAAAUUUAAAAUGUUAAGAUUAAUUAAUAAAAUUUUUACAUUAAUUAUUCUUAAUUACAACUUCACGUUAGAUAUUAAAAUAUCGCUUCUUACACCCUAAAGUGCAGGGGUGAAGAUUUGGUAAAAUAAUUAUCAGACAAAAGAAAAAGCAGCCAAGAGGGACAACAAGAGAGAGAGAGAGAGAGGUGGCUCAGACAAAGAAGAAGAGAGAAAAGACAUUGAACAGAGUAACGAGAAGCAGCAGAGGCUGUGGAAUCUAAUCUCCUCUUCUCAUGUCUUCCACUAAAUGUAAUAAGUGGAAUUAGAUGGCUAAACACGGCCCGGAGAUGGUGGAAGAAACAACCAAUCAUGGCAAGACAAUCACAGAAAACAUUCUGAUUGCUCAAUCAUGGCAGCUCUUUUA
This 1189-nucleotide long non-coding RNA is filed under the name Manihot esculenta (cassava). RNAcentral describes it as "long non-coding RNA (MESC_LNC004258)". Lineage: Eukaryota; Viridiplantae; Streptophyta; Magnoliopsida; Malpighiales; Euphorbiaceae. The record is from RNAcentral.